RNAcentral lists this ribosomal RNA (224 nucleotides) under uncultured bacterium. Its description in RNAcentral is "partial 16S ribosomal RNA". It matches the Rfam family "Bacterial small subunit ribosomal RNA", at positions 524 to 746 of the family's 1533-position model. The record is from RNAcentral.
UACGGAGGGGGCUAGCGUUGUUCGGAAUUACUGGGCGUAAAGCGCGCGUAGGCGGACCUGCAAGUCGGGGGUGAAAGCCCGAGGCUCAACCUCGGAACUGCCUUCGAUACUGCGGGUCUCGAGUCCGGGAGAGGUGAGUGGAAUUCCUAGUGUAGAGGUGAAAUUCGUAGAUAUUAGGAAGAACACCAGUGGCGAAGGCGGCUCACUGGCCCGGGUACUGACGC